Sphaerodactylus townsendi is the source of this 371-nucleotide long non-coding RNA. RefSeq lists it as uncharacterized. Lineage: Eukaryota; Metazoa; Chordata; Lepidosauria; Squamata; Sphaerodactylidae. The record is from RefSeq and is a predicted model, not a curated record. The transcript is spliced from 3 exons.
UUGCUUCCAAGGAGUUCCAUUGUAUCUGUAGCCUUAUUUUUAAGUUUCCGGCAGCAUUUGCUCAAAUGACAGUGUGACACUAGAAAAGUCCAAUAGAGCAAGAUCAAAAUACGCUCCACAAGGAUGAAGAGACACACCCACACAGCCACGGUGAUGCCUUGGGGGUCGGAGGGCAGCAUGGGCAUUUCUCCUCAUCCCAGAGGGAUGCGGAGCUGCGGUGGGAGAGAAGGCAUUCCUUCAGUGAAGAGGAUGCUUGGCUACUUUGUGGUACUUGCUGCUGAGUGAAAGAAAAUUAAUAUGACUUGGAAGCAUGCAUAGAAUCACUGAAACAUUCAGCAUACAUUAGAUAGUCACUAUUAGGGUAACUAAAA